This 798-nucleotide ribosomal RNA is filed under the name uncultured Rhizophagus. RNAcentral's name for it is "SSU rRNA". It matches the Rfam family "Eukaryotic small subunit ribosomal RNA", at positions 314 to 1114 of the family's 1831-position model. Lineage: Eukaryota; Fungi; Glomeromycota; Glomeromycetes; Glomerales; Glomeraceae. The record is from RNAcentral.
AUCAACUUUCGAUGGUAGGAUAGAGGCCUACCAUGGUGGUAACGGGUAACGGGGUGUUAGGGCACGACACCGGAGAGGGAGCCUGAGAAACGGCUACCACAUCCAAGGAUGGCAGCAGGCGCGCAAAUUACCCAAUCCCGACACGGGGAGGUAGUGACAAUAAAUAACAAUACGGGGUUCUUUCGGAUCUCGUAAUUGGAAUGAGUACAAUUUAAAUCUCUUAACGAGGAACAAUUGGAGGGCAAGUCUGGUGCCAGCAGCCGCGGUAAUUCCAGCUCCAAUAGCGUAUAUUAAAGUUGUUGCAGUUAAAAAGCUCGUAGUUGAAUUUCGGGGUCAGUAGGCUGGUCGUGCCACAGGUACGUACUGGUCUCACUGAUUCCUCCUUCCUGAUGAACCGUAAUGCCAUUAAUUUGGUGUUGCGGGGAAACUGACUGUUACUUUGAAAAAAUUAGAGUGUUUAAAGCAGGCUAACGCUUGAAUACAUUAGCAUGGAAUAAUGAAAUAGGACGUUCGAUCCUAUUUUGUUGGUUUCUAGGAUUGACGUAAUGAUUAAUAGGGAUAGUUGGGGGCAUUAGUAUUCAAUUGUCAGAGGUGAAAUUCUUGGAUUUAUUGAAGACUAACUACUGCGAAAGCAUUUGCCAAGGAUGUUUUCAUUAAUCAAGAACGAAAGUUAGGGGAUCGAAGACGAUCAGAUACCGUCGUAGUCUUAACCAUAAACUAUGCCGACUAGGGAUCGGAUGAUGUUAAUUUUUUAAUGACUCAUUCGGCGCCUUACGGGAAACCAAAGUGUUUGGGUUC